RNAcentral lists this long non-coding RNA (726 nucleotides) under Numida meleagris (helmeted guineafowl). Its description in RNAcentral is "lncRNA (ENSNMEG00000021977.1)". Lineage: Eukaryota; Metazoa; Chordata; Aves; Galliformes; Numididae. The record is from RNAcentral.
AAGAGACAAUUAAUCCUCUCAGUAAAGCAGCCCAGUGCACCCAUGGAUUCCCAACUGUGACACAAGAGGAAUGACCAAGUGUCUGUUGUACAGCUGUUUUACUCUUUCACUGGGAAGAAUUCACACUGGACCUCAGGUUAAGGAAUGAAGGAUCUGGCACCAUCUGGAUAUCUUUCAGUUCCUUCCAUGUACAUUUUCAGACAAGGGGAAAUCCACAGACACUGGCUAUGACAUACGCUUUUCCUGUUGUGUCCUGUACUUGGAGUCACAUUGAAAUUUGCAGCAAGACUUAACUUCCACCAGGAACUCCUCUGAAGCAGCUGUUAGCUAAGGGGUAGGUAUCUUGGGACUUAUCAGACACUGCCUAAGAGAUAGCAACUAGGUAGCAAAGGUCUGAUUAAAUGUUCUCUAAUGCUAUUAGGUUGUUUUAAAAAUAAUUACAGUUUUACAUGAACUGAAUCAAACCUUUCAGCUAAAUAUAAGUCAAUAUCAACUUUCUACUUGUGUGUUCUGUAAGAUACUAUUUCUUUUUAUGGUGCAGAAGGUACUAAGUAAUAUUUGCAGUGUCUUUAUACUUAUAAGUGAAAAGGUGUGAUUUCUGCAUUUAUGUUUUCUUUUACAACCUUGCUCUAACAGUAUAGUUUUAAUAUUUCUGUAAAUUACAUUUUGUGUAUGUGUUUGUGUGAUGGAUGGUAGAAUAUGAUGAAGAAUCAUGUUUAAUAAUAG